GCGGGGAUAGCUCAGUUGGGAGAGCGUCAGACUGAAGAUCUGAAGGUCGCGUGUUCUCGAUCCACGCUCACCGCA
This is a non-coding RNA of Manihot esculenta (cassava), 75 nucleotides long. NCBI's taxonomy places the organism in Eukaryota, Viridiplantae, Streptophyta, Magnoliopsida, Malpighiales, Euphorbiaceae. The record is from the annotation of a RefSeq genome assembly.